CAUAGUCUCACGACUCUCGGCAACGGAUAUCUUGGCUCUUGCAUCGAUGAAGAACGUAGCAAAAUGCGAUACCUGGUGUGAAUUGCAGAAUCCUGUGAACCAUCGAGUUUUUGAACGCAAGUUGCGCCCGAGGCCUCCUGGCUAAGGGCACGUCUGCCUGGGCG
RNAcentral lists this ribosomal RNA (164 nucleotides) under Zoysia macrantha. RNAcentral's name for it is "5.8S ribosomal RNA". It matches the Rfam family "5.8S ribosomal RNA". From Rfam's summary of the family: 5.8S ribosomal RNA (5.8S rRNA) is a component of the large subunit of the eukaryotic ribosome. The record is from RNAcentral. Lineage: Eukaryota; Viridiplantae; Streptophyta; Magnoliopsida; Poales; Poaceae.